Molecule: long non-coding RNA, 2977 nt
Organism: Mirounga angustirostris (Northern elephant seal)
Lineage: Eukaryota; Metazoa; Chordata; Mammalia; Carnivora; Phocidae
Exons: 3
Source: RefSeq, a predicted model, not a curated record
CAGGUCUUAGAGCACUUGUUUAGUCCUUUUUUCCUAUUUUGACUCUGAAGUAAAAUAAUAAGUGUGCUUAUUACAUUUAGUUUCUUUCUAUACAGACACCUAGCACAUGAUUUUGCUUUCUAACUUCACACUUAACUCCCUGAAAACAUCCAUGUAUGCAUAUCAGUGUUCUUUCUAGUUUCAGAGGCUGAGUUUAUGUCCAGAAUGAAUGCUAAUAUAUAUUGUUGUCUGGAUACUAGGGCCCCAUCCUUCACUAUUCCUCUCUCUCUCUUUCUUCUGUCUCUCCCCUCCCUCUCUCUCCCUCCCUCUCUUACCCUAACUCUCCAUCCAUCCCUCUAUCUCAUCUCGGUCUUUCCCUCUGUCCUGUGUUUUCAAUUCCUUCAGUUCCACCUGCUCUUUCUUUUUAGACUCUUUCCUUUCAGAACAUAAAUACUCCCAGUCUCUUGUUCUAAAAAUAAUAUCCUAUAACUGUCUUCUCUUUCCUUCCUUUCAAAACCAAACUUCUUGAUGAAGUAGAGCACUCCCCACUCCAUUUCCUCGCCUCUAAUUCCAUCAAGGGCCUACUGCAAUUUGGCCUCUGCUCACACAACUCCUCAAGGCACCAAAGAGGUCAGUAACUCCCUCUCACUGAACAGUUCCCAGGCAGGAUUUUACUUGGAGUUUGUGGCAUUUAAUCGAGUUGACUCUUCCCUUCCUAUAUGCAUUCCUUCCUUGGCUUCUCUUUUUUGUUUCUACAUUUCCUUCUUUCUCUCACUACUUUUGAACCACAAAUACUUAAGUAAAAUUAUGUGCAGUGUUGAGCAUAUUCUUACAUUUAAAAGGAAAAUAAAUGCCAAUCUGAUUGUACAGGAAAAGGUUUCAAAUUGCCCAGACCCUAAAAUUAUGUAUGAAAAGCAGUCAUUAUCUAUACUUCAAAUUAGCUAAAUACAUAAAACUAUAACUUUAUCUUCAUUUAUCAGCAUAGGAAAAACUACUUUGUUCUACGCACGGAUCCUCGGGUGACUGGACUGACCUGACCAGGAGAAAGCCCUUGGUAGGAAGGCACAAUGCUAACUCUCUCAACAUCAUAUGACUACAGAGAACAGGUGUCAAGAGUCUCAACUGUUUGGUACUGAAAACAGGAGAAACAGAAAUGAAAAAAAAAAUCCUCGCUGCAGGAAUUCAAACUAAACCGUAUGAGAACAUGGAUAGUGAAAUGGAUUACUAAGGACAUAACAAAUAGGUAUGAGGAACGACAACAACAACAAAAAAAAACAGGUAAAAUGAAGAUAAUAAAGUGCUAUUUCCAGAAGAGCUUGGUCAGGAUUUGAAGGGGUAAAAACAUACGCAUUCCCUUUUGUUUGCAAGGCAGCCUCUGACAAUGAAGAUGAAUUAAAGACUCAGGAAGCUAAUGCCCUUGAUGUUAAUUCCCUUACAGUUCUCUUUCUUGCAGAAACUUCUUAGAGAUCAGAUGGCUAAGACCUAAUCUUUAUUUCAUGUUUCUGUAACUUUAAAAUGAAUUUCUCUCUGCUGCUUCUCAGAUACUGACAAUAAAUCCAUAGUGCAAAUACUGAGAACACUAGAUUUUGGAAGAAACCAAAGUAACAAAGCCAAAACCUUUAUUCUGGAUUAAUAUAUAUUUUUGAAUCAGUAACGUAAUGGCUAAACAAUCACAUUAGAAUUGACACUUGCCGUUUUAGAGUGGGGGAUAAAUUGGGGCAUGUGAAGUAUCCUCGCAAAGUUCUCAGAUGAUGCAUUUUGGUUGACUGACUCUAUUACUGAUGAAAACAUCAAGGCAGCUCUUCACUGGGUUAUAAAAUAUUGUGACUAUUUUAAAAUUGUUCUUAUUCUUUUUAGUUUUCCAACACUCCUACUUCUGACAAAACCAAGCACUAUGGCGUGAAUGCUUCUGUUCUCCUCAAAAUUCCUAUGUUGAAAUCCUGACUCCCAAGGUGAUGGUAUUAGUUGGUACCUUUGGGAGGUGAUUAGAUUAUGAGGGUGGAGACUCGUGAAUGGGAUUAGUGCCCUUAUAAAUAGAGGCCUCAGCGAGUUUGCCGAUCCCUUCAACCAUGUGAAGAUACAGGAGAAGUUAGCUUUCUACAACGGAGAAGAGGGCCCUCCCUAGACCUUGAUCUUGCUGGUACCCUGAUCUUAGACUUCCAACCUCCAGCAAUGUGAGAAAUAAAAAUCAGUUGUUUAUCAGCUACCCAGUGUCUGGUAUUUUUUUUAUAGCAGUCCAAACAGACUAAGACACCAAAAUAUUUCCAGUGUGUUUUAAAAUAUAGAAGCAGCUACAACAUAAUCCCACUUUUUAAAACAGUAGCAUAAUACAUUUCAACAAUUAUUUCACACUUGUAGGAAACCCUCUUGAGAAGUCCCUUGAAAAAUAAAAAAGCAUGGGGACAUCUGGGUGGCUCAGUUGGUUAAGUGUCUGACUCUUGAUUUUGACUCAGGUCAGGUGUCAGGAUCUUGAGAUCGAGCCCUGCCUUGGGCUCUGUGCUGAGUGUGGAGCCUGCUUAAGAUUCUCUCUCUUCCUCUUCCUCUGCCCCUCCCUCCUCUCUAUUGCCGUCUCUAAAAAACAAAAGACAAAAACAAAACAAAAAAACAUUUUUGAUCUUAAAUCUAGUUCAUACUAUCUACUAGUUAUGAUUAUUAACAUGGCCCAUGACUUGAGUAAGUAUAUGAGGAAUAAGAAUUUUUUUAGGCUCACACAUACGCAUUUUAUCAUAAGCAUGGGGAAUUGUACUAUUUCAUGCAAUAUUAUCAUAAAGCAACUUUAUUAUUUGGACUCCCACCACCACUUUAAACUUAUUCAUUGGGGCCAUGUCCUCCCUCACACAUGGAUGCAGACUUGUACUGAACUAUGACUUGACUUCUGUUUGGUUUUGGUUAUUGAAAUCCCUAUGGGCGCUUUCUCAUUUCAAUUCCAAAUGAAGCAAACUUGGUUUUAAAUUAAGAUUUCUUCUUUUCCUUCCCCCCAACUAUUAAAAUCAAAGGA